AGAGUUUGAUCAUGGCUCAGGACGAACGUUGGCGGCGUGCCUAACACAUGCAAGUCGAGCGAUGAAACCCUUCGGGGUGGAUUAGCGGCGGACGGGUGAGUAACACGUGGGUAACCUACCUCAAAGAGGGGAAUAGCCUCCCGAAAGGGAGAUUAAUACCGCAUAAUAUGUUUUGAUCGCAUGACCGAGACAUCAAAGGAUUUUCUUCGGAAAUUCCACUUUGAGAUGGACCCGCGGCGCAUUAGCUAGUUGGUGAGGUAACGGCCCACCAAGGCAACGAUGCGUAGCCGACCUGAGAGGGUGAUCGGCCACAUUGGAACUGAGACACGGUCCAGACUCCUACGGGAGGCAGCAGUGGGGAAUAUUGCGCAAUGGGGGAAACCCUGACGCAGCAACGCCGCGUGAAUGAUGAAGGCCUUCGGGUUGUAAAGUUCUGUCUUCUGGGACGAUAAUGACGGUACCAGAGGAGGAAGCCACGGCUAACUACGUGCCAGCAGCCGCGGUAAUACGUAGGUGGCAAGCGUUGUCCGGAUUUACUGGGCGUAAAGGAUGCGUAGGCGGACAUUUAAGUCAGAUGUGAAAUACCCGAGCUUAACUUGGGCGCUGCAUUUGAAACUGGGUGUCUAGAGUGCAGGAGAGGUAAGUGGAAUUCCUAGUGUAGCGGUGAGAUGCGUAGAGAUUAGGAAGAACACCAGUGGCGAAGGCGACUUACUGGACUGUAACUGACGCUGAGGCAUGAAAGCGUGGGGAGCAAACAGGAUUAGAUACCCUGGUAGUCC
RNAcentral lists this ribosomal RNA (779 nucleotides) under uncultured Clostridiaceae bacterium. Its description in RNAcentral is "bacterial SSU rRNA". It matches the Rfam family "Bacterial small subunit ribosomal RNA", at positions 8 to 796 of the family's 1533-position model. Lineage: Bacteria; Bacillati; Bacillota; Clostridia; Eubacteriales; Clostridiaceae. The record is from RNAcentral.